This 346-nucleotide long non-coding RNA is filed under the name Homo sapiens (human). RNAcentral describes it as "non-protein coding lnc-CD52-1:1". The record is from RNAcentral. Lineage: Eukaryota; Metazoa; Chordata; Mammalia; Primates; Hominidae.
UGUUCCAGCAUUUGACAUAUUGUCAUAGGCUUUCCUACGGUACAGCCUCUAACAAAACUAGGCUGUCCUGAGCCCCUCGUAAUAGAAUUGUUGACCUCUAUACCUACAAAGUUGGGAAAGCACCAAAAUCUGCAUGUGGCGUGUGCCCAGGCAGACUUCAAGGGGUUCAUGUUGUGAGGUCUAAAGUUCUUAUGAGAUUGUCCAAAACAAAAAACAUGUCAGGAGGGCCUAUGGUGGUUCCAGGUAUGCUAAAUGUGUUCGUGGCAGGAUCAAGCCUGCUUUCCUUAUGCAGCAGCUAAAAAUCCUUAUGAAAGUGUUGAAGGCACAAGCACAGACUCAGAAAGCU